GUGCCAGCAGCCGCGGUAAUUCCAGCUCCAAUAGCGUAUAUUAAAGUUGUUGUGGUUAAAAAGCUCGUAGUUGAACCUUGGGCCUGGCUGGCCGGUCCGCCUCACCGCGUGCACUGGUCCGGCCGGGCCUUUCCCUCUGUGGAACCCCAUACCCUUCACUGGGCGUGGCAGGGAAACAGGACAUUUACUUUGAAAAAAUUAGAGUGCUCCAGGCAGGCCUAUGCUCGAAUACAUUAGCAUGGAAUAAUAAAAUAGGACGCGCGGUUCUAUUUUGUUGGUUUAUAGGACCGCCGUAAUGAUUAAUAGGGACAGUCGGGGGCAUCAGUAUUCAACUGUCAGAGGUGAAAUUCUUGGAUCAGUUGAAGACUAACUACUGCGAAAGCAUUUGCCAAGGAUGUUUUCAUUAAUCAGGAACGAAAGUCAGGGGAUCGAAGACGAUCAGAUACCGUCGUAGUCUUAACCAUAAACCAUGCCGACUAGGGAUCGGACGGUGUUAUUCAUGACCCGUUCGGCACCUUACGAGAAAUCAAAGUGCUUUGGGCUCCAGGGGGAGUAUGGUCGCAAGGCUGAAACUUAAAGAAAUUGACGGAAGGGCACCACCAGGGGUGGAGCCUGCGGCUUAAUUUGACUCAACACGGGGAAACUCACCAGGUCCAGACACAAUAAGGAUGACAGAUUGAGAGCUCUUUCUUGAUUUUGUGGGUGGUGCGCAUGGCCGUUCUUAGUUGGUGGGGUGACUUGUCUGCUUAAUUGCGAUAACGAACGGA
This 767-nucleotide ribosomal RNA is filed under the name uncultured fungus. Its description in RNAcentral is "SSU rRNA". It matches the Rfam family "Eukaryotic small subunit ribosomal RNA", at positions 564 to 1339 of the family's 1831-position model. The record is from RNAcentral. Lineage: Eukaryota; Fungi.